Molecule: transfer RNA, 72 nt
Filed under: Candidatus Nomurabacteria bacterium
Lineage: Bacteria; Candidatus Nomuraibacteriota
Description: tRNA-Arg
Rfam family: tRNA
About the family: Transfer RNA (tRNA) molecules are approximately 80 nucleotides in length. Their secondary structure includes four short double-helical elements and three loops (D, anti-codon, and T loops). Further hydrogen bonds mediate the characteristic L-shaped molecular structure. tRNAs have two regions of fundamental functional importance: the anti-codon, which is responsible for specific mRNA codon recognition, and the 3' end, to which the tRNAs corresponding amino acid is attached (by aminoacyl-tRNA synthetases). tRNAs cope with the degeneracy of the genetic code in two manners: having more than one tRNA (with a specific anti-codon) for a particular amino acid; and 'wobble' base-pairing, i.e. permitting non-standard base-pairing at the 3rd anti-codon position.
Source: RNAcentral
GCCCCCAUAGUUCAAAGGAUAGAACAAGGGACUCCUAAGCCCUGGAUCCAUGUUCGAUUCAUGGUGGGGGCA